GUGCCUAUACAUGCAAGUCGAGCGGACAGAUGGGAGCUUGCUCCCUGAUGUUAGCGGCGGACGGGUGAGUAACACGUGGGUAACCUGCCUGUAAGACUGGGAUAACUCCGGGAAACCGGGGCUAAUACCGGAUGGUUGUUUGAACCGCAUGGUUCAAACAUAAAAGGUGGCUUCGGCUACCACUUACAGAUGGACCCGCGGCGCAUUAGCUAGUUGGUGAGGUAACGGCUCACCAAGGCAACGAUGCGUAGCCGACCUGAGAGGGUGAUCGGCCACACUGGGACUGAGACACGGCCCAGACUCCUACGGGAGGCAGCAGUAGGGAAUCUUCCGCAAUGGACGAAAGUCUGACGGA
RNAcentral lists this ribosomal RNA (355 nucleotides) under Bacillus subtilis. RNAcentral's name for it is "bacterial SSU rRNA". It matches the Rfam family "Bacterial small subunit ribosomal RNA", at positions 44 to 390 of the family's 1533-position model. The record is from RNAcentral. Lineage: Bacteria; Bacillati; Bacillota; Bacilli; Caryophanales; Bacillaceae.